CGAUCGCCUGCUGGGGGGCGAUGAAAUGGAUAUGGGCGUCAAUACCGCCGGCGGUCAGGAUCCGUCCCUCGCCGGCGAUGAUCUCGGUGCCGGGGCCGAUGACGAUGUCGACGCCGGGCUGGAUGUCGGGAUUGCCGGCCUUGCCGAUCGCGGCGAUGCGGCCGCUGCGCAGGGCGACAUCCGCCUUGAUGAUGCCGGUAUGGUCCAGAAUCAGGGCGUUGGUGAUGACGGUGUCGGCAGCACCAUCGGCGCGGGUGCGCUGUGACUGGCCCAUGCCGUCCCGGAUCA
RNAcentral lists this small RNA (288 nucleotides) under Tistrella mobilis KA081020-065. RNAcentral describes it as "5' ureB small RNA". It matches the Rfam family "5' ureB small RNA". The record is from Rfam by way of RNAcentral. Lineage: Bacteria; Pseudomonadati; Pseudomonadota; Alphaproteobacteria; Geminicoccales; Geminicoccaceae.